AGUGAACGCUGGCGGUAGGCCUAACACAUGCAAGUCGAACGGCAGCACAGUAAGAGCUUGCUCUUACGGGUGGCGGGUGGCGGACGGGUGAGGAAUACAUCGGAAUCUACUUUUUCGUGGGGGAUAACGUAGGGAAACUUACGCUAAUACCGCAUACGACCUACGGGUGAAAGCAGGGGAUCUUCGGACCUUGCGCGAUUGAAUGAGCCGAUGUCGGAUUAGCUAGUUGGCGGGGUAAAGGCCCACCAAGGCGACGAUCCGUAGCUGGUCUGAGAGGAUGAUCAGCCACACUGGAACUGACACACGGUCCAGACUCCUACGGGAGGCAGCAGUGGGGAAUAUUGGACAAUGGGCGCAAGCCUGAUCCAGCCAUACCGCGUGGGUGAAGAAGGCCUUCGGGUUGUAAAGCCCUUUUGUUGGGAAAGAAAAGCAGCAGGUUAAUACCCCGCUGUUCUGACGGUACCCAAAGAAUAAGCACCGGCUAACUUCGUG
RNAcentral lists this ribosomal RNA (492 nucleotides) under uncultured bacterium. RNAcentral describes it as "partial 16S ribosomal RNA". It matches the Rfam family "Bacterial small subunit ribosomal RNA", at positions 29 to 507 of the family's 1533-position model. The record is from RNAcentral.